UACGGGGGGGGCAAGCGUUGUUCGGAAUUACUGGGCGUAAAGGGCUCGUAGGCGGUCGCCUAAGUCAGACGUGAAAUCCCCAAGCUUAACUUGGGAACUGCGUCUGAUACUGGGUGGCUUGAGUUCGGGAGAGGAAUGUGGAAUUCCAGGUGUAGCGGUGAAAUGCGUAGAUAUCUGGAGGAACACCGGUGGCGAAGGCGGCAUUCUGGACCGAAACUGACGCUUAAGCGCGAAAGCCAGGGGAGCAAACGGG
This 253-nucleotide ribosomal RNA is filed under the name uncultured bacterium. Its description in RNAcentral is "partial 16S ribosomal RNA". It matches the Rfam family "Bacterial small subunit ribosomal RNA", at positions 524 to 776 of the family's 1533-position model. The record is from RNAcentral.